RNAcentral lists this ribosomal RNA (254 nucleotides) under uncultured bacterium. RNAcentral describes it as "partial 16S ribosomal RNA". It matches the Rfam family "Bacterial small subunit ribosomal RNA", at positions 524 to 776 of the family's 1533-position model. The record is from RNAcentral.
UACGGGGGGGGCAAGCGUUGUUCGGAAUUACUGGGCGUAAAGGGCGCGUAGGCGGCCUGCUAAGUCGGACGUGAAAUCCCUCGGCUCAACCGGGGAACUGCGUCCGAUACUGGCGAGGCUUGAAUCCGGGAGAGGGAUGUGGAAUUCCAGGUGUAGCGGUGAAAUGCGUAGAUAUCCGGAGGAACACCAGGGGCGAAAGCGGCCGACUGGUCGAGUACUGACGCUGAGGCGCGACGGCGUGGGGAGCAAACCGG